Molecule: non-coding RNA, 4421 nt
Organism: Phasianus colchicus (ring-necked pheasant)
Lineage: Eukaryota; Metazoa; Chordata; Aves; Galliformes; Phasianidae
Source: RefSeq, a predicted model, not a curated record
CCACUCUGGGCUCAUGUAAGGGCCAGCCAUGGACGGGAGAGCGUCUGUUGGAGCUAGGCUGCUCCGUGAGGAGGAGCGCUGUUUAGCCAGAGAUUUCCUUCACCAGCUGGCGGCAGUGCUUCUAUUGGAGAUUCAUCCCAGAUGUGAUCUGCAACUGAAGAGGGGACUGCAUAUGCAGUGUUUCCCAAGAGCUUACGCCUGAAGCAAUAGAAGAAAUUCUGCUGGAGCAGUAACAGUGUAAAACCUCUACUGAACAUGGAGGAGAUGACCGUGUCUGCACAAGAGGUACGUUGGCAGAUGAUGACAUUACUGCAGGAGAAGGUAAGUUGUGAAUCCAUGAGAACUCAUAGCAGCUGUUUGCAUUAUAACCUCAGCGUCAGUGUGAAGUAAAUGAAGAGCACUAAAAUGAUUACCUUAGGAAAGAUAUGUCAUAUAUAUCUUGUUUAACCCCGAGUGGGUUGGGGUUACAGCACCUGAGGAUGGUGUGUAGGUCACUCUCACCCAUUCUUGCCAGAACUUAUUUUGCAGCAUCUCCGUGAUUCCGUGAGAAUUAUGAAACUCAACGUGCUGUCAAUGCGCUGUAUGAAAAAAAUUGCUGCAGGCUUUGCCUGAGCUCACUGCUGUCCCUGUGUAUCUCAGUUGUUUCUCUCCCUCCUAGUGCUUACUGGCAUGUUCAUAAUGGACAGUGCUCCAUUCUUCCUUGGCUAGAAACACACGGUCCCUUUUGGUGAAGAAACUGUGAGUUUGAACCUCAAGUCAAAACCUGCUUUGUUACAAACCAUGGGAAGUACAGUCUGUGAGUUUUGAUCCCUGUUAACCUGGUGUUUGCUGCCCACCUCUCUGUGUCGUGAUCCGUAUGGAGCAGCACUGGGUGACCAUGCACUGAUCUGGACUUUCACAUGUUGAGAAAUGUCCUGAAGGCAGAUUAUUUUACAAAAUAUUUGAAAAAGUUUUCCCUGAUUUUGAUCAGAGCCAGUGUGGUCUUGAUGGUCCUAAAGCCCUGAAAAAGGAGGCAAGGCUUGGCAAAGCAUCUAAGACUACAUAUGGUUUACAAAAUGCCUCAGAAGUGCUUGGAAUGGGCUUCUAUCAGACUUUGACUUUAGCCCUUCCUGACUGUGCUGACAGAGCUUCUACCAUUUUUUUGAGGCCCCUUUUUAUUUUAUUCUCAAAAAUUCUGCUGACAAGGCCACCUUUGUUGAGCUAUUAUGUACUGACAUCCAAAGAACAUUUUGAAUUGUACAUGAAGGAAGGCUAAUUCUGCUCAUGGUUCCUGGAAUAUUUUGGCUAUGGUGUGAUUUUGAUGCAAAGUUGGAAACUGUGCUACAAGGUGCCUUUUUAAAAAACAAAACAAAACCCAGGCAUACUGUCAGAAAUUCAUCAGCAGUUCCUCCCGAGUAAUGUACUUUUCCAAAGACAAGUGAAAAAAUGUCAAAACCAAAUAAAGAAUAGCUGUGUUACAGGAGCUAUUCGAGAUCCAAUUUAGCCUUUCUUAUAAGUUUCCCUUCCAGUAAGCUGCUCUUCUCAUGUUUUCUUCCAGUAAAUGAGAUGUGCAUAACUCAAUCGUAUUACAGAAUUGAUCCCUUUCAAAAACAUGCCAACAAACAAACAAGCAGAAACUUUUGAAUGGUAAAAGAGUUAAAAAUAAGGGGUGCUAAUUUCGUAACCCUUCGGCUCACAUUCCUGGCUUGUCCAGCUCUCCCUCCAUUCACAGGAGGAUCUGCAGAGUUACACUGAUAAGAAUUCAGGUCACAGGAGAUUUCUAGUAAUGGUCUAGAUUAAAUCCAUCCAUACAUUCAUCUUUCUGUACGCUGGAUGCGAGUGUUGGAUAUAAAAGCUGCAGAUCCCCAAUUUUUCAUUUCUGAAUAAACCAUUUGGAAGGAUUUUCCUCUUUCUUCCACUGGCGUAUACUGGGAGUAACUUCUUUCAAGCAAAUAAUAUUAUGCUGGCAGUUACAGCGGCAAGAGGAGCAAUAGGGCAGAGACAGAGUUUUGUGAUGUGUUAUAUUUUAAAAUGACACAUUUGUCUGGUAUGGGGUGGCUGAAAUGCAGAUUCAAGACUGAAUAGAAAUAUUUCUGCAUUAAAUUCAGUAUUUCUGCAACAAAUCUUCUGUUUUUGUAUAAGCAGAUGAAGCACUCCUGAUUUCAACAGCCCCCUGAGGCGCUGACCCACGGUAUUUAUUUCUAAUCCGUUCUGGGCUUUGUGACCUUGCUUGGUUCGUUUGUCUGUUACGUGCAAAUACUCCUUGCAGAUUCUACAGCAGGGGUGAGGCCAAGCUCUGGCAGGUCAGAAAGUGUGCUGUGAGCAAGUGUGCUUUACUGAAGGGGAAAGGAAAAAUACGGCUUUUGUACAGUAUGGUCCAUUGCCACUUCCAAUGGGGUUAAUAGGGCAACUACAGGCAAAUGGCAUGGCGGGGGAGGAAUUAAAGAUUUGGUUGUGUCUCAUAAAGUGCUUUAGGAUUCUGACGGUAUUUUUUGGUUGUAUCGAAAGGCUGCUCUGAGAGUAAUGCUUCCUGUUUAUUUCCAUGGAAAUUACUACAAAGAGCACUACAGCACCAGUUGACAGAGCAAGUUCUCAGCUACAAAGUGCUCUUUUUCAACACAGUCGCCACUGUGAGCUGUUUAUUUUCACCAGUGAUAAACAAGUGCCUACGUGCUGCACUCAUACAAAUCUACACGCCAGUGGAGGUGUACCAUUGUUGCUGUUGCAGCUGUUGAAAUGCACCACCCACUGCUUCACUGCGCUCACACUCACUAUUUGGUCUCCAGAAAUAUUCAGCCAGCACUGAUGAGUGGUGGGGGGCUGGCAAUGGAGCGAGGCCAGCUCCUCGGGAGGUUUGAAAUGUUGUGGGCAUUGUGACCUGAUAACCUUCCUCUUCAGAAACCCUCUGCCACUGUGAUCCUUUAGAACUGAGAAAUAAGACUGAGGAGUUUUCCAGUUAGUUCUUUUAAAGGAGACUGAUGUGUAGCGGUGCCUAAAAGUUGGCUGCCCAGUUCGUGAAUGGUUUCUGCUGCUGGCAGGCUGCUGGAGCUAUUUCAGAACAGCACUUUUCUGACUCCAUCAGGAGGUGCAAGCUCAGAGCCACUCACGUAAGCUUUGCCUUAGGGGUAUCAGCAGUAGUGGAGUCUCUAAUGAAAAAGAAUAACUGAAACAACAACAAGAGAAAUGAGGAAAAUGAAGAUUUUCAGACAACAUGUCUUUUAUCUGUGCCUCUGCUGGGUGAGGUGAGUGCUUCUGUUCUGUGUUAUAGCUGAACUCACAGCUAUAUGCAGAGGGGGUGCUGGGAGGCUGUUCUAAUUAAAACUGGUUCUUACUUAUGAAAUUCAGGAUGCUGGGAGGAAGCUGUCCGGGAUGAUUAAAACACUAUCUGAAUGUUGACACAGAUCCAUUUGUGAGCCUUUCUUUAGUUGUGAUAUUGUCUGCAGUUUUUGUAGCUGUUGUUUGUUUGCUGGGUUUCUUUUUUCUCCAGUAUUGGAAACUACAAUGUCUGAAUAUUUUCUCUUCAGUGGACGAUCAGGCUGACCGCUGCAGGUGCUACAAUAAGGUACCUGGCUGUUGCCAACAGAGUUUUCUUUUUCUUUCUUCUCCCAGGAAGAAGCCCAUAUCCUCCUUGAACCCUCUGCCUGAUUGUGUGCGAUUCUGCAGCAAUUCGUUUCUUCAUGAAUAGUAAGAAGAAACAUAAGAGAAGUGCUAGAGUUGGACUGGCUUUUUCUGUCUCACCUGCAUGGCUUGAAGCACUUCUCACCCUUCUCAUCCCCAUAGCAGCAGGCAGAGUGGCAGUCCCAUAUCCCAUCCUGCUGGCUGCUCGUAACACCCUUCCUGACCUCUGCUUUCCUCUUCCUUGUUUCUUUACCUGUUGACAUUGUGAGAUGUAAGGCAUGCUUCUUCAGGAGUGCAGCUUGGAUGCUCGCUGAGUGUGUUUCCCAUCUUCCUCCCGCCCAUCACAUCUCAGUUAUUUCUGCAGCCAGCCUUAUUUUUCCUUUUCCCUGCGUCCUGCUACUUGUCUCAGCAGUAUCUCAGGUAGAAUUUCAGGUGUUCAGGCAGGUUAACGUCAGAUGAAAAUCUUGAAGGACAAAUAGUAGGUGCAGCACCAAACCUGCUAUUUAUGUCAGUAUAGACUGGAGCUGGAGUUCAGCAAUAAAAUUCAUCUUAAGCAUCGUCUGUAAGUAUUUCCUUCAAGACUAAGUCCUGGGUUUAAAUGGCAAAUAAUUGGUUUGCACGUGAGAUUUUAUUUGCCGUGAUGAAUCACUUUGGGAAAAUUUCAUCUGUCUCUGAUGCCAGAGGGCACAUUCACAUUUAUCAGCAGAUCAGUAAAUAUUUGCGUGAGAUGCACAAAUUGGCUAUAAGCUCCAAGUUUUUGGAAAUGGCAGAUCUUUACCAAUAGGUGUGAAGCUUCAUGGUUCCAUGCAGCUUGUGCACCUCUG